AACGAACGCUGGCGGCAUGCCUAACACAUGCAAGUCGAACGAAGGCUUCGGCCUUAGUGGCGCACGGGUGCGUAACGCGUGGGAACCUGCCCCUCGGUUCGGAAUAACAGUUAGAAAUGACUGCUAAUACCGGAUGAUGACUUCGGUCCAAAGAUUUAUCGCCGAGGGGUGGGCCCGCGUAGGAUUAGCUUGUUGGUGGG
RNAcentral lists this ribosomal RNA (200 nucleotides) under uncultured bacterium. Its description in RNAcentral is "partial 16S ribosomal RNA". It matches the Rfam family "Bacterial small subunit ribosomal RNA", at positions 29 to 256 of the family's 1533-position model. The record is from RNAcentral.